Penaeus monodon (black tiger shrimp) is the source of this 522-nucleotide long non-coding RNA. RefSeq lists it as uncharacterized. The record is from RefSeq and is a predicted model, not a curated record. The transcript has 2 exons. NCBI's taxonomy places the organism in Eukaryota, Metazoa, Arthropoda, Malacostraca, Decapoda, Penaeidae.
CUUAAAUUCUAACUAUUAAUGAACGUAACUAACUUUGGUGGAUUUCCAACUACUGCUUUGUAGUUGCCCGACAUCAUGGGAAAUAAACAUUGGUGUUGGUGUGCAAAUCCUUGUUUGUUUUCAAGCCGGAAAUUUGAGUAAUUAAGCCAUGGUUGCUUUUCGUGGAUAAAGAGGUGGGAGGAGGAGAGCACCCUGAACGAUCGCCCUCGUUCCGGUGCUCCACGAAAGACAACCGAAGAUCAAGAUGUUCAGAUCAGGGAGAUGGUGGAGGUGAACCCCUUCACCAAUGCAGUUAGUAUACAAGAAGAAUUGCAACUCCCAGUAACAAGUCGAACAGUGAGAAAAAGAUUGCACGCAGAUGGUAUUCAUCACAUUGUAUGUGAUAAAAACCUCGAGCACAAGAUUACCCGGAAAAAGAAAGAAGCCUGGAAAGGAAUCACUAAUAUUUUUAAUGCUGCCUCUGUCGGCGACAAAAGAACGGAAAAGCAAGUAAGGAAGAUGUGGGAGCGAGUAAAGGGAAAG